This is a long non-coding RNA of Oxyura jamaicensis (ruddy duck), 1011 nucleotides long. RefSeq lists it as uncharacterized. The transcript is spliced from 4 exons. Lineage: Eukaryota; Metazoa; Chordata; Aves; Anseriformes; Anatidae. The record is from RefSeq and is a predicted model, not a curated record.
AAAAAUUCAAGGGCCAGAUCUCCAGGAAUGGACUGAGACACCUGAACUCUCCAGGCAUUGUGAAUCUCCCUGGGUCCUGGGAACUCUGUGACUAGGAUUAUGUGAGGAAGAUUAUGUGAGGAAGAGUAAAGUUUUCUGGUGAUCUCAGCUGAGCACAUCAGAGUAUGUUACUUUUCAAAGGAAGAGAUGACCUUGGUAACCUCCUACUGGAACUCUUGUGUUUCAUCUUUAACAUGAAACAGUCAAGCAGCGACAUAACCCAAGCCGCACCCAGGCAUACACAUGAGCUGAAGGCAAGAAUGGGCCUGUCCAACACAUGGAGCUGCAAGGAGAAAAGCUUUUAAUGUCCCCUGACGGGGAGCUCACCCAGAGACCUUCCUCUGCACACAGCAGCAACGGAGCAGGCAAUUUCAAUGGGAUUAUAUCUAUACAUUUGCUUAACUCCCCGUAAAACCCAUCCCUUAAGAACACACAUGUACAGCUGUUCCAUAGGAGGCACACCUAUAUUGCUGCAUGUCAUUAUUUAAUAAACUGGAAAUCUAGGGGAGCCCAGAUCUUUAGCCUGGAAAGUUUGAAGUUGUUUGGAUCUGACGUUUCCAUUUGUUUAAUGACAGAAACAAAGUAAUUCCAAAGUCUGUGUUUGAAGGUGGAUGACUUUUUCCUAAUUUUGAGAAGUGUCAGGACAUAGGAAUUGAACUGCCCUAUCUCAACUGCAUUACAUUAACUGGGCAAGUAUGAAGGAAUGGAUUCUCAUUAGCCAGGAUGAUUCCACAUAAAUUUAUGAUUUGCAUCUACAUAAAUGGCAUGUAAAGAAAUUAAUGCAAAUGUCCAACAAAUUGUAAAGGUUUAGAAUGUAUUUUAUCCAGUUGUUUGUUGAACAGUAUUUGCCUUUAGCCUUUCAUAGGUUGUUAAAAAAUCUGAAUGUGUAAUAACUUCCUCUGAAUGCUUCAAUUUAAGCUAAUGUACUGUUCCUUUAUGUAAAAAGUAAAGGUAUUCUGAAGCCUUUUGCUC